UACGGGGGGGGCAAGCGUUGUUCGGAUUCACUGGGCGUAAAGGGUGCGUAGGUGGUGAGGUAAGUCGGAUGUGAAAUCUCCGAGCUCAACUCGGAAAUGGCAUUGGAAACUACCUUGCUCGAGGGUUGGAGGGGGGACUGGAAUACUUGGUGUAGCAGUGAAAUGCGUAGAUAUCAAGUGGAACACCAGUGGCGAAGGCGAGUCCCUGGACAACUCCUGACACUGAGGCACGAAAGCUAGGGGAGCAAACAGG
This 253-nucleotide ribosomal RNA is filed under the name uncultured bacterium. RNAcentral's name for it is "partial 16S ribosomal RNA". It matches the Rfam family "Bacterial small subunit ribosomal RNA", at positions 524 to 776 of the family's 1533-position model. The record is from RNAcentral.